Molecule: ribosomal RNA, 227 nt
Filed under: uncultured bacterium
Lineage: Bacteria
Description: partial 16S ribosomal RNA
Rfam family: Bacterial small subunit ribosomal RNA
Source: RNAcentral
UAGGGAAUCUUCCACAAAUGGACGCAAGUCUGAUGGAGCAACGCCGCGUGAGUGAAGAAGGUUUUCGGACCGUAAAGCUCUGUUGUUGGUGAAGAAGGAUAGAGGUAGUAACUGGCCUUUAUUUGACGGUAAUCAACCAGAAAGUCACGGCUAACUACGUGCCAGCAGCCGCGGUAAUACGUAGGUGGCAAGCGUUGUCCGGAUUUAUUGGGCGUAAAGCGAGCGCA